UCUCUCCGAGACGGAUCCCGAGUAGUGCGGGGCACGUGAAACCCCGUAUGAAUCUGCCAGGACCAUCUGGUAAGGCUAAAUACUCCCUAGCGACCGAUAGUGAAGCAGUACCGUGAGGGAAAGGUGAAAAGGACCCCGGAAGGGGAGUGAAAUAGAACCUGAAACCGUGUGCUUACAAAAAGUCAGAGCCCUAUUACUGGGUGAUGGCGUGCCUUUUGUAGAAUGAACCGGCGAGUUACGUUCCCGUGCAAGGUUAAGGUGAAAAGCCGGAGCCGCAGCGAAAGCGAGUCUGAAUAGGGCGAUGAAGUACGUGGACGUAGACCCGAAACCAGGUGAUCUACCCCUGUCCAGGGUGAAGGUACGGUAACACGUACUGGAGGCCCGAACCCACGCACGUUGAAAAGUGCGGGGAUGAGGUGGGGGUAGCGGAGAAAUUCCAAUCGAACCUGGAGAUAGCUGGUUCUCCCCGAAAUAGCUUUAGGGCUAGCCUCGGAAGGUGAGUCGUGGAGGUAGAGCACUGAUUGGAUGCGGGGCCCGCAAGGGUUACCAAGUUCAGUCAAACUCCGAAUGCCACAGACUUUAUUCCGGGAGUCAGACAGUGAGUGCUAAGAUCCAUUGUCGAAAGGGAAACAGCCCAGACCAUCAGCUAAGGUCCCCAAGUGUGUGUUAAGUGGGAAAGGAUGUGAAGUUGCACAGACAACCAGGAUGUUGGCUUAGAAGCAGCCACCAUUGAAAGAGUGCGUAAUAGCUCACUGGUCGAGUGACUUUGCGCCGAAAAUGUAACGGGGCUAAACACACCACCGAAGCUAUGGCUUGAUAC
Molecule: ribosomal RNA, 820 nt
Filed under: Paenibacillus sp. PsM32
Lineage: Bacteria; Bacillati; Bacillota; Bacilli; Caryophanales; Paenibacillaceae
Description: partial 23S ribosomal RNA
Rfam family: Bacterial large subunit ribosomal RNA
Source: RNAcentral